UGUAAGCGUCGCAACUGGCGUUGGGUGGGUAACCACCAGGAAGCGGCACAAGCAAGUCAAACCACGGAUCGCACGCCUGGGCCAUGGUC
Molecule: non-coding RNA, 89 nt
Filed under: Arthrobacter sp.
Lineage: Bacteria; Bacillati; Actinomycetota; Actinomycetes; Micrococcales; Micrococcaceae
Also listed under: 1 other name
Description: ZTP sequence
Rfam family: ZMP/ZTP riboswitch aptamer (pfl RNA motif)
About the family: Previously known as pfl RNA. ZMP is also known as AICAR.
Source: RNAcentral